This 75-nucleotide transfer RNA is filed under the name Allostigmatella aurantiaca DW4/3-1. RNAcentral describes it as "Stigmatella aurantiaca DW4/3-1 tRNA-Glu". It matches the Rfam family "tRNA". Rfam says of the family: Transfer RNA (tRNA) molecules are approximately 80 nucleotides in length. The record is from RNAcentral. Lineage: Bacteria; Pseudomonadati; Myxococcota; Myxococcia; Myxococcales; Archangiaceae.
GGCCCUGUCGUCUAGUGGUUAGGACGGUGCCCUCUCACGGCACAAACUCGGGUUCGAAUCCCGGCAGGGUCACUG